GAUGAACGCUGGCGGCGUGCCUAAUACAUGCAAGUCGAGCGAACGGACGAGAAGCUUGCUUCUCUGAUGUUAGCGGCGGACGGGUGAGUAACACGUGGAUAACCUACCUAUAAGACUGGGAUAACUUCGGGAAACCGUAGCUAAUACCGGCUAAUAUUUUGAACCGCAUGGUUCAAAAGUGAAAGACGGUCUUCCUGUCACUUAUAGAUGGAUCCGCGCUGCAUUAGCUAGUUGGUAAGGUAACGGCUUACCAAGGCAACGAUGCAUAGCCGACCUGAGAGGGUGAUCGGCCACACUGGAACUGAGACACGGUCCAGACUCCUACGGGAGGCAGCAGUGGGGAAUAUUCCGCAAUGGGCGCAAGCCUGACGGAGCAACGCCGCGUGAGUGAUGAAGGUCUUCGGAUCGUAAAACUCUGUUAUUAGGGAAGAACAGAUGUGUAAGUAACUGUGGACAUCUUGACGGUACCUAAUCAGAAAGCAACGGCUAACUACGUG
RNAcentral lists this ribosomal RNA (497 nucleotides) under uncultured bacterium. Its description in RNAcentral is "partial 16S ribosomal RNA". It matches the Rfam family "Bacterial small subunit ribosomal RNA", at positions 28 to 507 of the family's 1533-position model. The record is from RNAcentral.